AGGUUACUGCUAUCGGUGUUCGCCUAAGCCAUGCGAGUCAUAUGCUCGUAAGAACAUGGCGUACUGCUCAGUAACACGUGGAUAACCUGCCCUUGGGUCCGGCAUAACCCCGGGAAACUGGGGAUAAUUCCGGAUAACGCACAUAUGCUGGAAUGCUUUAUGCGUAAAAUGGAUUCGUCUGCCCAAGGGUGGGUCUGCGGCCUAUUAGGUAGUAGUGGGUGUAAUGUACCUACUAGCCUACGACGGGUACGGGUUGUGAGAGCAAGAGCCCGGAGAUGGAUUCUGAGACAUGAAUCCAGGCCCUACGGGGCGCAGCAGGCGCGAAAACUUUACAAUGCGGGAAACCGUGAUAAGGGGACACCGAGUGCCAGCAUCCUAUGCUGGCUGUCCGGGUGUGUAAAAUACACCUGUUAGCAAGGGCCGGGCAAGACCGGUGCCAGCCGCCGCGGUAACACCGGCGGCCCGAGUGGUGAUCGUGAUUAUUGGGUCUAAAGGGUCCGUAGCCGGUUUGGUCAGUCCUCCGGGAAAUCUGACAGCUUAACUGUUAGGCUUUCGGAGGAUACUGCCAGACUUGGAACCGGGAGAGGUAAGAGGUACUACAGGGGUAGGAGUGAAAUCUUGUAAUCCCUGUGGGACCACCUGUGGCGAGGGCGUCUUACCAGAACGGGUUCGACGGUGAGGGACGAAAGCUGGGGGCACGAACCGGAUUAGAUACCCGGGUAGUCCCAGCCGUAAACGAUGCUCGCUAGGUGUCAGGCAUGGCGCGACCGUGUCUGGUGCCGCAGGGAAGCCGUGAAGCGAGCCACCAGGGAAGUACGGCCGCAAGGCUGAAACUUAA
RNAcentral lists this ribosomal RNA (838 nucleotides) under uncultured archaeon. RNAcentral's name for it is "bacterial SSU rRNA". It matches the Rfam family "Archaeal small subunit ribosomal RNA", at positions 21 to 859 of the family's 1478-position model. The record is from RNAcentral.